GGCCCAACAGCUAGCCCCACAUCUAAAAGCAACCAACCAUCAUUUAUACCCCCAAACACACUAGUGUCUCUCAAACAAACCAUUUUUCCCCCUAAGUACGGGCGACAGAAAAGGAACUACGGGCGCAAUAGAAAAAGUACCGCAAGGGAAAGCUGAAAGAGAAAUGAAAUAACCCAGUAAAGCUACAAAAAGCAGAGAUUUUUCCUCGUACCUUUUGCAUCAUGAUUUAGCCAGAAACAUUCAGGCAAAGGGAACUUUAGUCUGGCACCCCGAAACUGAGUGAGCUACUCCAAGACAGCCUAUUAAUAGGGCGCACCCGUCUCUGUGGCAAAAGAGUGGGAAGAGCUUUGAGUAGAGGUGACAGACCUACCGAACUCAGUUAUAGCUGGUUGUCUGGGAACUGGAUAGAAGUUCAGCCUCCCGGCUUCUUCCCUCGACUUCGUCUUAACCCCUUACAGACCCCGAAGAAACCAUGAGAGUUAGCCAAAGGGGGUACAGCCCCUUUGAAACAAGAUACAACUUUACCAGGAGGGUAAAGAUCACAAUAAGAAAAAGUAAUAUGUUCUGGUGGGCCUAAAAGCAGCCAUCCCUGUAGAAAGCGUUAAAGCUCAGACAUUUUACCAACUACCUAUUCUGAUAAUUUUUUCUCACCCCCCUAACCUUACCAGACCGACCCAUGCAAGCAUGGGUGUGACUAUGCUAAAAUGAGUAAUAAGAGGGCCUCGGCUCUCUCCCCGCACGCCCGUAACUCGGAACGGACCAACCACCGAACCUUAACGGACCCAAAAAAAGAGGGUAAUGAAUUACAGACUAAACAACUGGAAAAACAUUCAAUCUUAACCGUUAACCCCACACCGGCGUGCCCGCUGGGAAAGACUAAAAGAAAGAGAAGGAACUCGGCAAACACAUAAAGCCUCGCCUGUUUACCAAAAACAUCGCCUCUUGCUGAAAACCAAGAAUAAGAGGUCCCGCCUGCCCUGUGACUAUAAGUUUAACGGCCGCGGUAUUUUGACCGUGCAAAGGUAGCGCAAUCACUUGUCUUUUAAAUGAAGACCUGUAUGAAUGGCAUAACGAGGGCUUAGCUGUCUCCUUUUUCAAGUCAAUGAAAUUGAUCUCCCCGUGCAGAAGCGGGGAUGACAUCAUAAGACGAGAAGACCCUAUGGAGCUUUAGACACCGGAAUAAAUCAUGUUAAGCAACCCCUAACAUGGGGCGAAACAAAUGAAAAUUAUUCCAUGUCUUUGGUUGGGGCGACCGCGGGGAAAUAAAAAACCCCCACGUGGAUUGGGGCUACACUGCCCCACAACUGAGAGCUCCUGCUCUAGCUAACAGAACAUCUGACCAAUUAAGAUCCGGCAACGCCGAUCAACGGACCGAGUUACCCUAGGGAUAACAGCGCAAUCCCCUUUUAGAGCCCAUAUCGACAAGGGGGUUUACGACCUCGAUGUUGGAUCAGGACAUCCUAAUGGUGCAGCCGCUAUUAAGGGUUCGUUUGUUCAACGAUUAAAGUCCUACGUGAUCUGAGUUCAGACCGGAGUAAUCCAGGUCAGUUUCUAUCUAUGCUAUGAUUUUUUCUAGUACGAAAGGACCGAAAAAAAGAGGCCUAUACUACCAGUAUGCCUCACCCCCACCUAAUGAAGACAACUAAAGCAGGCAAAAGGGCAUGCCCCCUUGCCGGAGAUUACGGCAU
Molecule: ribosomal RNA, 1688 nt
Filed under: Lepomis cyanellus (green sunfish)
Lineage: Eukaryota; Metazoa; Chordata; Actinopteri; Centrarchiformes; Centrarchidae
Description: 16S ribosomal RNA
Rfam family: Bacterial large subunit ribosomal RNA
Source: RNAcentral